UGGGGAGUAUUGCGCAAUGGCCGAAAGGCUGACGCAGCGACGCCGCGUGGGGGAUGAAGCAUUUCGGUGUGUAAACCCCUGUUGCCCGGGACGAACAAGCAGAUUUUUCUGCUCUGACGGUACCGGGUGAGGAAGCACCGGCUAACUCCGUGCCAGCAGCCGCGGUAAUACGGAGGGUGCGAGCGUUGUCCGGAAUCACUGGGCGUAAAGGGCGCGUAGGCGGUCUGCUAAGCGUGCGGUGAAAGCCCGGGGCUCAACCCCGGGUCUGCCGUGCGAACUGGUGGACUAGAGCACUGUAGAGGCAGGUGGAAUUCCGGGUGUAGCGGUGGAAUGCGUAGAGAUCCGGAAGAACACCAGUGGCGAAGGCGGCCUGCUGGGCAGUAGCUGACGCUGAGGCGCGACAGCGUGGGGAGCAAACA
Molecule: ribosomal RNA, 419 nt
Filed under: uncultured bacterium
Lineage: Bacteria
Description: bacterial SSU rRNA
Rfam family: Bacterial small subunit ribosomal RNA
Source: RNAcentral